Molecule: ribosomal RNA, 405 nt
Filed under: uncultured bacterium
Lineage: Bacteria
Description: partial 16S ribosomal RNA
Rfam family: Bacterial small subunit ribosomal RNA
Source: RNAcentral
GAUGAACGCUGGCGGCGUGCCUAAUACAUGCAAGUCGAGCGAAGCGGGGACGGGUGAGUAAUACGUGGAUGACAUCCUAGAAGGCUGGGAUCACGUAGGGAAAGCGGAGCUAAACAGGAUACGAAAAGGUGGAAGCGCGCUGGAUUAGCUAGUUGGUAAGGUAACGGCUUACCAAGGAAACGAUGCAUGGCCGACCUGAGAGGGUGAUCGGCCACACUGGAACUGAGACACGGUCCAGACUCCUACGGGAGGCAGCAGUAGGGAAUCUUCCGCAAUGGGCGAAAGCCUGACGGAGCAACGCCGCGUGAGUGAUGAAGGUCUUCGGAUCGUAAAACUCUGUUAUUAGGGAAGCGGUACCUAAUCAGAAAGCCCCGGCUAACUACGUGCCAGCAGCCGCGGUAAUUC